RNAcentral lists this long non-coding RNA (436 nucleotides) under Jatropha curcas. Its description in RNAcentral is "long non-coding RNA (JCUR_LNC001595)". Lineage: Eukaryota; Viridiplantae; Streptophyta; Magnoliopsida; Malpighiales; Euphorbiaceae. The record is from RNAcentral.
UUCAAGCCAAGCAGGGACAGAAGGUUGCUCCUCCGAUCUGUCCAGGUGAGCGUCGAUCCAGCAAGUCUCCGACCACCAGGAGCAUAUCUGUCGCGCCUGUAGUUGCGCCGCCAGCUGCUCCGCCACCAGGUCGCGCCACCACUGCAAGUCAGCCCCUCCUGCGUUGAUCUCAGGUGGUCCAAUCGCUUCCAGCACGUGUAGUUUCAAUCCGGUACGCGUAAAAUCCCAAUCCUGCAAGAAAAUUAUAUUUUGGGGUAUAAAUCAAUUUUAAUAAUUUUAGUUAAUUAAUUUAAUUUAAUGAAUUGUGGUUAAUUGAAUGUAGUAAUUUUAGUUAGUUUAAUUUUAGUCAUUGGGAGUAGUUAAAUUAAUUUGAAUUAAUGUUGAUUUAUUGAUUAAUUAAAAUAUUUGACUAAUUAAAUUUAAUUCUAGUACUACA